GCGAACGUUGCUACCAAGGAAGCUAUGGAGAACAGAAUCGGUGCAAACCCUAUAAUGUGAUGGCAGAGGCCAUACAUGGGAGUUGUAGUCUGUCUUUCCAUCGACCAAAGGGAGCUGCUUGGAGAACACAGAGGUGUUGAAGUAGGGGGUCGAAAGGGGCGAGGAAGCGACGACGAGUCCAUAGGGACUUAGCUACCCAAAAUCAAGCAUCAGUU
Molecule: long non-coding RNA, 215 nt
Filed under: Musa acuminata (dwarf banana)
Lineage: Eukaryota; Viridiplantae; Streptophyta; Magnoliopsida; Zingiberales; Musaceae
Description: long non-coding RNA (MACU_LNC005275)
Source: RNAcentral